UGGGUCACUCAGUCAUGUUUCCUGGUAAAG
Molecule: non-coding RNA, 30 nt
Filed under: Mus musculus (house mouse)
Lineage: Eukaryota; Metazoa; Chordata; Mammalia; Rodentia; Muridae
Source: RNAcentral